RNA transcript from Carlito syrichta (Philippine tarsier), 1242 nucleotides. It is a transcript of the gene named Krueppel-like factor 4 pseudogene, with no coding region annotated. Lineage: Eukaryota; Metazoa; Chordata; Mammalia; Primates; Tarsiidae. The transcript has a single exon. The record is from RefSeq and is a predicted model, not a curated record.
AUGCCACCGGGGUCCUGCAUGCCAGAGGAGCCCAAGCCAAAGGGGAAGAAGAUCGUGGCCCUGGAAAAGGACCGCCACCCACACUUGUGAUUACGCGGGCUGCGGCAAAACUUACACGAAGAGUUCUCAUCUCAAGGCACACCUGUGAACCCACACAGGCGAGAAACCUUACCACUGUGACCGGGACGGCUGUGUGUGGAAAGCUGCCCGCUCAGAUGAACUGACCAGGCACUACCGUAAACACGCCGGGCACCGCCGGUUCCAGUGCCAGAAAUGCGACCGGGCGUUUUCCAGGUCGGACCUCCUUGCCUUACACACGAAGAGGCAUUUUUAAAUCCCAAACAGUGGAUACGACCCACACUGCCAGAAGAGAAUGCAGUAUUUUUUAAGUUUUUCACACUGUCUUCCUGAUGAAGGGAAGAGCCUAGCUGAAAAGCACUACAAUCAUGGUUAAGUUCCCAACUGAGUCAACUUGUGAAUGGAUAAUCAGGAAAAAUGAGAAAUCCAAAAGACAAAAAUCAAAGAACAGGUGGGGUCUGCGACUGGAUCUUCUAUCAUCCCAAUUCUAAAUCCGACUUGAAUAUUCCUGGACUUACAAAACGCCAAGGGGGGGUCACUGGAAGUUGUGGAUAUCAGGGUAUUAAUUAGAUCCGUGAGUUGGGGGAGGGAAGACCAGAAUUCCUUUGAGUUGUGUUUUGAUGCAAAAUAAGUGUAAAAGAUCACCUUGUAUUCCCUUUGCCUUCUAAAAGCCAUUAUGAUGUUAGAAGAAAAGGAAGAAAUUCAGGUACAGAAAAUGUGUUUUAAUAGCCUAAAUGAUGGUGCUUGGUGAGUCUUGGUUCUACAGGUACCAAACGAGGAAGCCAAAGUUCUCAAACUGCUGCAUACUUUGACAAGGAAAAUCUAUUUUUGUCUUCCGAUCUACAUUUAUGACCUAAGUCAGGUAAAUACACCUGGUUUACUUCUGUAACAUUUUUAUGCAGACAGUCUGUUAUGCACUGUGGUUUCAGAUGUGCAAUAAUUUGUACAAUGGUUUAUUCCCAAGUAUGCCUUAAGCAGAACAAAUGUUUUUUCUAUAUAGUUCCUUGCCUUAAUAAAUAAUGUAAUAUAAAUUUAAGCAAAUUUCUAUUUUGUAUAUUUGUAAACUACAAAGUAAAAAAAUGAACAUUUUGUGGAGUUUGUAUUUUGCAUACCCAAGGUGAGAAUUGUUUAAAAUAAAUCUAUAAUAUUUUAUCUGAAAAAAAA